RNAcentral lists this ribosomal RNA (492 nucleotides) under uncultured bacterium. RNAcentral's name for it is "partial 16S ribosomal RNA". It matches the Rfam family "Bacterial small subunit ribosomal RNA", at positions 29 to 507 of the family's 1533-position model. The record is from RNAcentral.
AGUGAACGCUGGCGGUAGGCCUAAUACAUGCAAGUCGAACGGAAGCACAGUAAGAGCUCGCCUUUACGGGUGGCGAGUGACGGACGGGUGAGGCAUACAUAAGCAUCUAAUUUUACGUGGGGGAUAUCGUAGGGCAACAUACACUAAUACCGCAUACGUCCAACGGGUGAAAGCAGGAGAUCUACACACUUUGCGCGACAGAUUGAGACGAUGCUGCAUUAGAUAGUUGGCAAGGUAACGGCUCACCAAGGCAACGAUGCAUAGCCGACCUGAGAGGGUGAUCGGCCACACUGGAACUGAGACACGGUCCAGACUCCUACGGGAGGCAGCAGUAGGGAAUCUUCCGCAAUGGGCGAAAGCCUGACGGAGCAACGCCGCGUGAGUGAUGAAGGUCUUCGGAUCGUAAAACUCUGUUAUUAGGGAAGAACAUAUGUGUAAGUAACUGUGCACAUCUUGACGGUACCUAAUCAGAAAGCCACGGCUAACUACGUG